GUUGUGUCCACCGCAAACUAAAAAAUAAAUAAUUCUCUCUCUCUAAAAAUAAAUCUUUCCAUUUAAAAAAAAAAAUAAACUUAGGGUGAAGCCAGCCUAAGCUACCUGCUGCCAUCAGCUGUAGGCCCACACAGGGCAGAUGAAAUAGUGAAAGAGUCACAUGCUUGACUGCACUCCCUGUACUAAAGCAUAGCUUCCCACCUCAGGGGAGAGGUCCUAUCUCUAGGGAACUUGAUGCUGAUGAAGGAAGGUACAGUGGAGCUUCAAAUGACUACCCUCUUCACUGUGAAGGAUAAGGGGGAUGGGGUUGUGGCUCAGUGAUAGCGAGCUUGCCUAGCAUGCGUGAGGCACUAGGUUUGAUUCUCAGCAUCACAUAAAAAUAAAUAAAAUAGAGGUCAUCAACAACUAAAAAAUAUUUUUUUUAAAAAAAGGAGGAUAAGGGCACUUCACUAUAUUCCAGUGUGGACCUGCAGAAUUUUAUCCAUGUGACAUUACCUAAUCAAAGAAUUAACGUAAAGAUGCAUGGUAUGCCAGUUAAAACAUGCAACUUGCAGGGGAAAUGACUGGCCUUCUGCCACACAAGUUAGCAGCCAUCCCUUGGUGUCUGCAGUGGCUCAAGUUCCUUACUAAAUGGUGCACCGUGUGCACAUAACUUGCACACAUCCUCCUAUAUAUUCCAAGUCACUCG
RNAcentral lists this long non-coding RNA (688 nucleotides) under Marmota monax (woodchuck). Lineage: Eukaryota; Metazoa; Chordata; Mammalia; Rodentia; Sciuridae. The record is from RNAcentral.